CGUAGGGUGCGAGCGUUAAUCGGAAUUACUGGGCGUAAAGCGUGCGCAGGCGGUUGUGUAAGACAGGUGUGAAAUCCCCGGGCUUAACCUGGGAACUGCGCUUGUGACUGCACGGCUAGAGUAUGGCAGAGGGGGUGGAAUUCCACGUGUAGCAGUGAAAUGCGUAGAGAUGUGGAGGAACACCGAUGGCGAAGGCAGCCCCCUGGGCCAAUACUGACGCUCAUGCACGAAAGCGUGGGAGCAAACAGGAUU
Molecule: ribosomal RNA, 252 nt
Filed under: uncultured bacterium
Lineage: Bacteria
Description: partial 16S ribosomal RNA
Rfam family: Bacterial small subunit ribosomal RNA
Source: RNAcentral